AAGAAUUUUUUUUUGUUAAAAUUAAUUUUUGGUUUAAGGGUUUUUAAAUGAAAUAAUUAUAUAUAGAUAUAUUAAUUGAAUUUUUAGUUUUAAUGAUUUAUAUUAUUAAAUUUAUUUAAUCAUAGUUAUUUAUUUAAGUUUUUAACAAAAUUGUGCCAGCAUUAGCGGUUAUACAAUUAAGGCAAUGAAAUUUUUUUAAUUUUUUUAUUUUUUAUUAUAAUUAUUUUAUGUGAAAUUAAACUAGUUUAAUUUAUUAACUUUUUAAGGUGAAUUAUGAAAAUAGGAUUAGAUACCCUAGUAUUUUUACAUAUGUUGUUUAUUUUGGAUUAAAUGAUUAAUCAUUAAAUAAAAAAAUAAUUGGUAGUGUUUUAUAUUAAUUAGGGGAAUCUGUUCAUUAAUUUGAUAAUCCACGUUAGGUUUAAUUUUUUAAUUAUAUUUAUAUAUUUCUGUAGUUGUUAAUUUUUAUAAAUUUUGACAUUAUUAUAUGUAAAUUCAAGUCAAUAUAUAGUUUUAGAAAAAUGAUUUGGAUUACAUUAUUUAAAUUGAAGUUAGAAAUUUAAUUUAUUCUUAUUAAAAGGACUUAAAAGUAAAAUUUUUUAAUUUUUAAAUUUUAAUAAAUAAUAGAAUAUAUUCAAAUUGCCCGUCAUUUUAUUUUAUAAGUAAACAAGUCGUAACAAGGUAAAUUUAUUGGAAAAUGAAUUUAAUUAGUGAUAUAAAGUUUAUUACUAGAUU
This 732-nucleotide ribosomal RNA is filed under the name Ceraphronidae sp. ZJUH_2016007. RNAcentral's name for it is "12S ribosomal RNA". Lineage: Eukaryota; Metazoa; Arthropoda; Insecta; Hymenoptera; Ceraphronidae. The record is from RNAcentral.